Molecule: ribosomal RNA, 1401 nt
Filed under: Triticum aestivum (bread wheat)
Lineage: Eukaryota; Viridiplantae; Streptophyta; Magnoliopsida; Poales; Poaceae
Description: partial small subunit ribosomal RNA
Source: RNAcentral
AUGAGGUGGGCGUCAUCUGGUUUUAAAGGAGAGGGCUCCAGCGAGAAAUAUCCUGUUAUGGCGGGAAACCGAGCGGGUUCGAUGAGAAAAGGGAAGGGUGCGUGGCCAAUUUCUUCUGCCCAUGACAUCUCGGUGGCCAAUUUCCAUUGCCCCUUGCUCGGUGGCGCUUUUGGUGAUUGCGUCUUCACCUCUCUUCAGUUGGUCUUCCUGUUGGUAUCACACGGAACCCCAAAGCCCUCGUCCUCCUUCCUUCGUCCCUCUCUUCGGCGAUUGAUCAUCGGCGACCAGAAUGUCGGACCAAAGGUUGGAAGCCGAGUCGGUCCUCGCCGGAGGCUCGUGAGAUUGGUGGUACGAGCGUUUUACGACGACUUAGGAUUCCAGGGCGAGGAACUGAUCACUGGUUGCGCAGGGGAGGCCGGCCUAGCCGUUGUCCUUCUCGACGCCCUCACUCGGUGUCGAUGCCAGUGGGUUGAGGAAGAGGAGUUGGCAAAGGUGCUUAAGCUUAACAAGAGGAAAUGCUUGCAGAUCCUGCAUUAUUUUGAAGCUGAGAGAUUCCUGAAAAGAAAGAUACCAAAGACAUCCAUAGGUGAUCCUGGUACACCAUCUGGCGCAUCGUCAACUGGACAUCUAUGGGGAAAUUCCAGGGUGGUCCAUGGACCACCCUGGCCACCCCCUAGCUACGCCACUGCUGUUUGGAUUACCCCCAGAUAUUCAGUAUUUGAUGCAAUGCAGCUGGGGUCUUUUGAGUGUGAGAGCUGUUCCAGAGAGUUAGUGAGGGAAGGUGACGAGGAAUCAAAUGAUGCAUCACGCGAUGGAAGAAAGAGAAGGAAAACUAAUUUGUCAAACAAACUCCAAAGAAUUCAGGAGCAGCUGGAACCCUUGGCAUCUCUACUUGAUAUGAUCGAGAAGUUGCCUGCGUUGGAAUUUUUGUAUCUUUAUGAUGAUGAUUUGCCAAGGAGCAGUGGACAUGAUGCAGUCAGGGUCCUUGGGGAGAAGAUGGUUGAAGCAUCACCAGCUUUGAAUAGAAUGCCAGAUCCUGAAAAACAUAUUAAUCUUACCGAGUCAAAGAUCUUGCCUGACUGGAUGAUAAGAGAGGGUAUGUUACAAAAGAAUACUCAUACUGGUGAUGACUCAGCGCUCAACGAAAGUACCCAGGACGCAUAUGCUAAGGCAUAUAGACAGGCACUUUACGAGGCUUAUUCAAGAGACACCCCAGCAGCAGUGAGAAGAAAGAGGCUUCUUGUUUACUCAACAUGGUUUCCUGAUUUAGAUUUUGGGGUUUCUGGAUGGACUGAUCCCUUGGGAGCCCCACACCCUUAUACUAUAUGCCGACUGAGCCUAGUUGGCCCACCGCAGGCCGAUUGGCCUCCAGUCGGCCCGCAGCAAGCCGACUGGGACUAA